Nicotiana attenuata is the source of this 658-nucleotide long non-coding RNA. RefSeq lists it as uncharacterized. NCBI's taxonomy places the organism in Eukaryota, Viridiplantae, Streptophyta, Magnoliopsida, Solanales, Solanaceae. The record is from RefSeq and is a predicted model, not a curated record. The transcript is spliced from 2 exons.
AGACAGAAAAUUUGAGAGAAAUCUGGAGGAAAAUUUCGAAAAAACUAGGGUUUUUGGCUUUCUUCUCAGAUUCUUCUGUUUUCACGUGUAAUUAGCAUUCCAGAAAAAACAAAAAUACAAAAAUAGUUCGAGUUUCAUUUUUGUUCGAGUCCUUGUUUCAUUUCGAAAAAAUCAGAAAAUUUCCAAAAAAUAUUUUUAGUUUCUUCUUCUGGUUUUUGCUGUUUUGAGAUGGAGAUUGAUUGAGGCGAAGUCAAGGUUGCCGUUCGAGUUCUUAGUUGCUGGUUCGGUUCCUAUCCACCUGCGGCUGCGUUGCUUCUUCAUUUCAAAACUUCAUCGGAAAGUUUAGCUUGUAAUUGCUUACAAACGAAAUUAAUCAAAGCCUCGAUCAAACAGAUUCAGGUGUUCCAGAGGCUGAGUGUGAGUUCCCCCGUUGAUCAGCUUUCACCGGAGACAUCGAGGUAGCUGCAUGGCGUCCGCAGACCCGAUUUCCUCCUUCUAUUUUACUAUUUUUUUGCAUUUCUAGACAUUUCUGUAUUAGGUUGUUCAGACCUGUGAUAGAGGCUUUUGACUUGUGACACCUGAUCGUUGGGCUGUGUAUUAGAAAUGUUUUUGAUUUCCGCAUACUUAACUUACUAUUUCAGACUUUUAAAAUGUUAAA